RNAcentral lists this long non-coding RNA (349 nucleotides) under Prunus persica (peach). RNAcentral describes it as "long non-coding RNA (PPER_LNC003625)". Lineage: Eukaryota; Viridiplantae; Streptophyta; Magnoliopsida; Rosales; Rosaceae. The record is from RNAcentral.
AACGUCCUUGUUACCCUAAUUGAAUUGUUGUCAACACAGUUCUUUACAAAGUCAAUCAGAGACUAAAGAACAAGUUUUAUAGUGAGACAUGGUUUGUAAAAAAGACUACAAUGUUGAUAUUAAGGUUGACAAUGUCACUUUGUGUUCCGGUCAAACACCUCAUAUAUGCUGAUAAAGCACAACAACAACAAAAUAUGGGAAGUUGAGCUUUCCAAAAGUUUGAGCAUGGGUUCAACCAACUUUGGCAAAAAGCCACGUACUCUCUAUCACACGGCAAAUGGAAUGUGAAAUUCUCUAUGAGCGCUUUCUUCUACGUGACAACGUUCUAUUAAGACAUCCAUGACUUGAC